RNAcentral lists this transfer RNA (59 nucleotides) under uncultured Symbiodinium. Lineage: Eukaryota; Dinophyceae; Suessiales; Symbiodiniaceae. The record is from RNAcentral.
AUGGCGUGGUGGAUACGGAUAUGGAUUAUAACUCAAAUGACGCGGGUUCAAGUCCAACA